Molecule: ribosomal RNA, 386 nt
Filed under: marine Metazoa environmental sample
Lineage: Eukaryota; Metazoa
Description: SSU rRNA
Rfam family: Eukaryotic small subunit ribosomal RNA
Source: RNAcentral
AGCUCCAAUAGCGUAUAUUAAAGUUGUUGCAGUUAAAAAGCUCGUAGUUGGAUCUCGGGUGCAGGCUUGCGGGCCGCCUCGCGGCGGUCGCCGCUCGCCCUGCCCUCCUCGCCGGUGUCCGCGCCCUGGUGCUCUUGAUUGAGUGUCUCGGCCGGCCGGAACGUUUACUUUGAAGAAAUUAAAGUGCUCAAAGCAGGCCUAUGCCGCCUGAAUAAUGUCGCAUGGAAUAAUGGAAUAGGACCUCGGUUCUAUUUUGUUGGUUUUCGGAGCUCGAGGUAAUGAUUAAUAGGGACUGACGGGGGCAUUCGUAUUGCGGCGCUAGAGGUGAAAUUCUUGGACCGUCGCAAGACGAACUACAGCGAAAGCAUUUGCCAAGAAUGUUUUCA